CCUACGGGUGGCAGCAGUGAGGAAUAUUGGUCAAUGGACGAGAGUCUGAACCAGCCAAGUAGCGUGAAGGAUGACUGCCCUAUGGGUUGUAAACUUCUUUUAUAUGGGAAUAAAAUGUUCCACGUGUGGGAUUUUGUAUGUACCAUAUGAAUAAGGAUCGGCUAACUCCGUGCCAGCAGCCGCGGUAAUACGGAGGAUCCGAGCGUUAUCCGGAUUUAUUGGGUUUAAAGGGAGCGUAGGUGGAUUGUUAAGUCAGUUGUGAAAGUUUGCGGCUCAACCGUAAAAUUGCAGUAGAAACUGGCAGUCUUGAGUACAGUAGAGGUGGGCGGAAUUCGUGGUGUAGCGGUGAAAUGCUUAGAUAUCACGAAGAACUCCGAUUGCGAAGGCAGUUCACUGGACUGCAACUGACACUGAGGCUCGAAAGUGUGGGUAUCAAACAGGAUUAGAUACCCUAGUAGUC
Molecule: ribosomal RNA, 460 nt
Filed under: uncultured bacterium
Lineage: Bacteria
Description: partial 16S ribosomal RNA
Rfam family: Bacterial small subunit ribosomal RNA
Source: RNAcentral